This 72-nucleotide transfer RNA is filed under the name Marmota monax (woodchuck). Its description in RNAcentral is "tRNA.Ala". Lineage: Eukaryota; Metazoa; Chordata; Mammalia; Rodentia; Sciuridae. The record is from RNAcentral.
GGAUAUAGCUCAAUUGGUAGAGUGCUUGCCUUGCAUGCACAAGGAAGGCCCUGGGUUCGAUCCCCAGCACCA